CCUACGGGAGGCAGCAGUGGGGAAUUUUGGACAAUGGGCGCAAGCCUGAUCCAGCGACGCCGCGUGGAGGACGAAGGUCUUCGGAUUGUAAACUCCUUUUGCAGGGGACGAAAAAAAUGACGGUACUCUGCGAAUAAGCCACGGCUAACUACGUGCCAGCAGCCGCGGUAAUACGUAGGUGGCGAGCGUUACUCGGAAUCACUAGGCGUAAAGCGCGUGUAGGCGGUAUUUUAAGUCUGUUGUGAAAUCUUAUGGAUAAACCAAAAAAUGGCGACAGAUACUGAAGUCCGAGAGUGAGGCAGGGGAAACUGGAAUUCCAGGGGUAGGGGUGAAAUGCGUAGAUAUCUGGAAGAACGCCAAAGGCGAAGGCGGGUUUCUGGGCCUUAAAUGACGCUG
Molecule: ribosomal RNA, 396 nt
Filed under: uncultured Elusimicrobiales bacterium
Lineage: Bacteria; Pseudomonadati; Elusimicrobiota; Elusimicrobia; Elusimicrobiales
Description: partial 16S ribosomal RNA
Rfam family: Bacterial small subunit ribosomal RNA
Source: RNAcentral